This 235-nucleotide ribosomal RNA is filed under the name uncultured bacterium. Its description in RNAcentral is "partial 16S ribosomal RNA". It matches the Rfam family "Bacterial small subunit ribosomal RNA", at positions 118 to 348 of the family's 1533-position model. The record is from RNAcentral.
UGAGGAACAUGACCUUCGGCGGGGGAUAGCCGGCCCAACGGCCGGGUAAUACCGCGUACGACCACAUGGGGACAUCCCUGAGUGGUGAAAGCAGCAAUGCGCCGAUGGAGUGCCUCGCGGCCUAUCAGCUAGUUGGUGAGGUAACGGCUCACCAAGGCGACGACGGGUAGCUGGUCUGAGAGGAUGGCCAGCCCACAUUGGGGACGGAGACACGGCCCAGACUCCGUAGGGACGG